AACGAUGAUGAAAAGCUCCGUGACGCAUGGGUCGUCGCAACCUGUCAUCUUCCCAGAUGAUACGAGCACCUCUGAGCUU
This 79-nucleotide small nucleolar RNA is filed under the name Zea mays. RNAcentral describes it as "Zm_21". The record is from RNAcentral. Lineage: Eukaryota; Viridiplantae; Streptophyta; Magnoliopsida; Poales; Poaceae.